UCACAAUGGAGGAAAGCGAUGUCGAGGAUUGCUCCAUCUUCCCUCCGAGCAACCACGAAGGUCUUCCCAUCCAAUCCCAAAACCAGCAAGAUCCACCUUCAUCAUCCUCACUGUCAUCGUCUCUACCUUCCCAUCUCAACGUCCGCGGCACAACUCUUGGCUUUGGCCUCACCAGGUGGUUCGCUUUUGGGUUGCGCCACUUACAUUCCAAACUUCUUGCCAUAGCUUCCUCGUUUCGACAUUAUGCCAACACAAGACCGACACUUGGGUCGUUUGGACCUGCCACCGGCGUCAUCACGGCGCUGGUGUUAGCAUUUUUCUUCAUUACGCUCCGCCGGCGCCGGCGCAGUCGGCCGCAUUCGUGGGAGGGGACUCUAGAUCAUUUGAUGCUUCUUAUCAAAGAGAGAGAUGAGAAAAUUAUUCAACUCUUGUAUCAAAUCAUCCAAAUGAAUGAGGCGCUACUGACCCAUCACAGAGUUGGUGCAGUUGAAACCCAAAAGCAAUUAACUUGACAAGGAGGUAGGUGAAACACAUUGUACAAAACUGAUGAGAUUUCAAGUGUGCUUUUGGGAUGUUGGUUCUUCAAGAAUUGGUUGGAGGUAUCAAUUUCAUUCCUCCUUCACAAUCUUAUAAUAUCAAAUAUAAUCAGCUUAUCCACCAGAGCCCUACACGUUUGUUCUGCUUCUUGUGUUUCAUGGAAAGACAUGGAUCAUAUCGGCCAAUAAAGCCAUUUUUAAGCACAUAUAGACAUUCUUUCAGUAUUCUUUUCUUCUUA
Long non-coding RNA from Vitis riparia (riverbank grape), 775 nucleotides. RefSeq lists it as uncharacterized. The record is from RefSeq and is a predicted model, not a curated record. NCBI's taxonomy places the organism in Eukaryota, Viridiplantae, Streptophyta, Magnoliopsida, Vitales, Vitaceae. The transcript is spliced from 3 exons.